RNAcentral lists this ribosomal RNA (920 nucleotides) under uncultured bacterium. RNAcentral's name for it is "bacterial SSU rRNA". It matches the Rfam family "Bacterial small subunit ribosomal RNA", at positions 33 to 955 of the family's 1533-position model. The record is from RNAcentral.
ACGCUGGCGGCGUGCCUAACACAUGCAAGUCGAACGAGAUGCGUAUUGGAAAGCUUCGGCCGGAAGAUACGUUAUCUAGUGGCGGACGGGUGAGUAACACGUGGGUAACCUGCCUUAUGGAGGGGGAUAACAGAGAGAAAUCACUGCUAAUACCGCAUAAGCACACAUUGCCGCAUGGCAGAGUGUGAAAAGAUUUAUCGCCAUAAGAUGGACCCGCGUCUGAUUAGCCAGUUGGCAGGGUAAAAGCCUACCAAAGCAACGAUCAGUAGCCGAUCUGAGAGGAUGACCGGCCACAUUGGGACUGAGACACGGCCCAAACUCCUACGGGAGGCAGCAGUGGGGAAUAUUGCACAAUGGGGGAAACCCUGAUGCAGCGACGCCGCGUGAGUGAAGAAGUAUUUCGGUAUGUAAAGCUCUAUCAGCAGGGAAGAUAAUGACAGUACCUGACUAAGAAGCCCCGGCUAACUACGUGCCAGCAGCCGCGGUAAUACGUAGGGGGCAAGCGUUAUCCGGAUUUACUGGGUGUAAAGGGAGCGUAGACGGAGUGGCAAGUCUGAAGUGAAAACCCUGGGCUUAACCUGGGGACUGCUUUGGAAACUGUUAAUCUAGAGUGUUGGAGAGGUAAGUGGAAUUCCUGGUGUAGCGGUGAAAUGCGUAGAUAUCAGGAAGAACACCGGAGGCGAAGGCGGCUUACUGGACAAUAACUGACGUUGAGGCUCGAAAGCGUGGGGAUCAAACAGGAUUAGAUACCCUGGUAGUCCACGCUGUAAACGAUGAAUACUAGGUGUCGGGGAGCAAAGCUUCUCGGUGCCGUCGCUAACGCAAUGAGUAUUCCACCUGGGGAGUACGUUCGCAAGAAUGAAACUCAAAGGAAUUGACGGGGACCCGCACAAGCGGUGGAGCAUGUGGUUUAAUUCGAA